CAUUCGGUGGGGAUUAGUGGCGAACGGGUGAGUAACACGUGGGCAAUCUGCCCUGCACUCUGGGACAAGCCCUGGAAACGGGGUCUAAUACCGGAUACUGACCCGCUUGGGCAUCCAAGCGGUUCGAAAGCUCCGGCGGUGCAGGAUGAGCCCGCGGCCUAUCAGCUUGUUGGUGAGGUAAUGGCUCACCAAGGCGACGACGGGUAGCCGGCCUGAGAGGGCGACCGGCCACACUGGGACUGAGACACGGCCCAGACUCCUACGGGAGGCAGCAGUGGGGAAUAUUGCACAAUGGGCGAAAGCCUGAUGCAGCGACGCCGCGUGAGGGAUGACGGCCUUCGGGUUGUAAACCUCUUUCAGCAGGGAAGAAGCGAAAGUGACGGUACCUGCAGAAGAAGCGCCGGCUAACUACGUGCCAGCAGCCGCGGUAAUACGUAGGGCGCGAGCGUUGUCCGGAAUUAUUGGGCGUAAAGAGCUCGUAGGCGGCUUGUCACGUCGGUUGUGAAAGCCCGGGGCUUAACCCCGGGUCUGCAGUCGAUACGGGCAGGCUAGAGUUCGGU
RNAcentral lists this ribosomal RNA (560 nucleotides) under Streptomyces albogriseolus. Its description in RNAcentral is "bacterial SSU rRNA". It matches the Rfam family "Bacterial small subunit ribosomal RNA", at positions 78 to 652 of the family's 1533-position model. The record is from RNAcentral. Lineage: Bacteria; Bacillati; Actinomycetota; Actinomycetes; Kitasatosporales; Streptomycetaceae.